UCUGGUUGAUCCUGGCGGAGGUUACUGCUAUCGAGGUUCGACUAAGCCAUGCGAGUCGAAUGUAGCAAUACAUGGCGUACUGCUCAGUAACACGUGGACAACCUACCCUUAGGUCGGGGAUAAACCCGGGAAACUGGGUAUAAUACCCGAUAGUCCUCGGAUGCUGGAAUGCACCGAGGUCUAAAGCUCCGGCGCCUAAGGAUGGGUCUGCGGCCUAUCAGGUAGUAGUGGGUGUAGCGUACCUACUAGCCUACGACGGGUACGGGUUGUGAGAGCAAGAGCCCGGAGAUGGAUUCUGAGACACGAAUCYAGGCCCUACGGGGUGCAGCAGGCGCGAAAACYUUACAAUGCUGGMAACAGCGAUAAGGGRACCUCGAGUGCCAGGUUACAAAUCUGGCUGUCGUGAUGCCUAAAAAGCAUURCAUAGCAAGGGCCGGGCAAGACCGGUGCCAGCCGCCGCGGUAACACCGGCGGCUCGAGUGGUAACCGYUAUUAUUGGGUCUAAAGGGUCUGUAGCCGGCCGGAUAAGUCUCUUGGGAAAUCUGGCAGCUUAACUGUCAGGCUUUCAGGAGAUACUGUCYGGCUCGAGGCCGGGAGAGGUGAGAGGUACUUCAGGGGUAGGGGUGAAAUCUUGUAAUCCUUGAAGGACCACCAGUGGCGAAGGCGUCUCACCAGAACGGACCUGACGGCAAGGGAC
RNAcentral lists this ribosomal RNA (697 nucleotides) under uncultured Methanosaeta sp. RNAcentral describes it as "bacterial SSU rRNA". It matches the Rfam family "Archaeal small subunit ribosomal RNA", at positions 1 to 705 of the family's 1478-position model. Lineage: Archaea; Methanobacteriati; Methanobacteriota; Methanomicrobia; Methanotrichales; Methanotrichaceae. The record is from RNAcentral.